This 1352-nucleotide ribosomal RNA is filed under the name uncultured bacterium. Its description in RNAcentral is "bacterial SSU rRNA". It matches the Rfam family "Bacterial small subunit ribosomal RNA", at positions 28 to 1381 of the family's 1533-position model. The record is from RNAcentral.
AUUGAACCUUGGCGGCAUGCCUUACACAUGCAAGUCGAACGGCAGCACGGAGCUUGCUCUGGUGGCGAGUGGCGAACGGGUGAGUAAUAUAUCGGAACGUACCCUAGAGUGGGGGAUAACGUAGCGAAAGUUACGCUAAUACCGCAUACGAUCUAAGGAUGAAAGUGGGGGAUCGCAAGACCUCAUGCUCGUGGAGCGGCCGAUAUCUGAUUAGCUAGUUGGUAGGGUAAAAGCCUACCAAGGCAUCGAUCAGUAGCUGGUCUGAGAGGACGACCAGCCACACUGGAACUGAGACACGGUCCAGACUCCUACGGGAGGCAGCAGUGGGGAAUUUUGGACAAUGGGCGAAAGCCUGAUCCAGCAAUGCCGCGUGAGUGAAGAAGGCCUUCGGGUUGUAAAGCUCUUUUGUCAGGGAAGAAACGGUGAAAGCCAAUAUCUUUUGCUAAUGACGGUACCUGAAGAAUAAGCACCGGCUAACUACGUGCCAGCAGCCGCGGUAAUACGUAGGGUGCAAGCGUUAAUCGGAAUUACUGGGCGUAAAGCGUGCGCAGGCGGUUUUGUAAGUCUGAUGUGAAAUCCCCGGGCUCAACCUGGGAAUUGCAUUGGAGACUGCAAGGCUAGAAUCUGGCAGAGGGGGGUAGAAUUCCACGUGUAGCAGUGAAAUGCGUAGAUAUGUGGAGGAACACCGAUGGCGAAGGCAGCCCCCUGGGUCAAGAUUGACGCUCAUGCACGAAAGCGUGGGGAGCAAACAGGAUUAGAUACCCUGGUAGUCCACGCCCUAAACGAUGUCUACUAGUUGUCGGGUCUUAAUUGACUUGGUAACGCAGCUAACGCGUGAAGUAGACCGCCUGGGGAGUACGGUCGCAAGAUUAAAACUCAAAGGAAUUGACGGGGACCCGCACAAGCGGUGGAUGAUGUGGAUUAAUUCGAUGCAACGCGAAAAACCUUACCUACCCUUGACAUGGCUGGAAUCCUUGAGAGAUCAGGGAGUGCUCGAAAGAGAACCAGUACACAGGUGCUGCAUGGCUGUCGUCAGCUCGUGUCGUGAGAUGUUGGGUUAAGUCCCGCAACGAGCGCAACCCUUGUCAUUAGUUGCUACGAAAGGGCACUCUAAUGAGACUGCCGGUGACAAACCGGAGGAAGGUGGGGAUGACGUCAAGUCCUCAUGGCCCUUAUGGGUAGGGCUUCACACGUCAUACAAUGGUACAUACAGAGCGCCGCCAACCCGCGAGGGGGAGCUAAUCGCAGAAAGUGUAUCGUAGUCCGGAUUGUAGUCUGCAACUCGACUGCAUGAAGUUGGAAUCGCUAGUAAUCGCGGAUCAGCAUGUCGCGGUGAAUACGUUCCCGGGUCU